RNAcentral lists this ribosomal RNA (1372 nucleotides) under uncultured bacterium. Its description in RNAcentral is "bacterial SSU rRNA". It matches the Rfam family "Bacterial small subunit ribosomal RNA", at positions 28 to 1381 of the family's 1533-position model. The record is from RNAcentral.
GAUGAACGCUGGCGGCGUGCCUAAUACAUGCAAGUCGAGCGAACGGACGAGAAGCUUGCUUCUCUGAUGUUAGCGGCGGACGGGUGAGUAACACGUGGAUAACCUACCUAUAAGACUGGGAUAACUUCGGGAAACCGGAGCUAAUACCGGAUAAUAUUUUGAACCGCAUGGUUCAAAAGUAAAAGACGGUCUUGCUGUCACUUAUAGAUGGAUCCGCGCUGCAUUAGCUAGUUGGUAAGGUAACGGCUUACCAAGGCAACGAUGCAUAGCCGACCUGAGAGGGUGAUCGGCCACACUGGAACUGAGACACGGUCCAGACUCCUACGGGAGGCAGCAGUAGGGAAUCUUCCGCAAUGGGCGAAAGCCUGACGGAGCAACGCCGCGUGAGUGAUGAAGGUCUUCGGAUCGUAAAACUCUGUUAUUAGGGAAGAAUAUAUGUGUAAGUAACUGUGCACAUCUUGACGGUACCUAAUCAGAAAGCCACGGCUAACUACGUGCCAGCAGCCGCGGUAAUACGUAGGUGGCAAGCGUUAUCCGGAAUUAUUGGGCGUAAAGCGCGCGUAGGCGGUUUUUUAAGUCUGAUGUGAAAGCCCACGGCUCAACCGUGGAGGGUCAUUGGAAACUGGAAAACUUGAGUGCAGAAGAGGAAAGUGGAAUUCCAUGUGUAGCGGUGAAAUGCGCAGAGAUAUGGAGGAACACCAGUGGCGAAGGCGACUUUCUGGUCUGUAACUGACGCUGAUGUGCGAAAGCGCGGGGAUCAAACAGGAUUAGAUACCCUGGUAGUCCACGCCGUAAACGAUGAGUGCUAAGUGUUAGGGGGUUUCCGCCCCUUAGUGCUGCAGCUAACGCAUUAAGCACUCCGCCUGGGGAGUACGACCGCAAGGUUGAAACUCAAAGGAAUUGACGGGGACCCGCACAAGCGGUGGAGCAUGUGGUUUAAUUCGAAGCAACGCGAAGAACCUUACCAAAUCUUGACAUCCUUUGACAACUCUAGAGAUAGAGCCUUCCCCUUCGGGGGACAAAGUGACAGGUGGUGCAUGGUUGUCGUCAGCUCGUGUCGUGAGAUGUUGGGUUAAGUCCCGCAACGAGCGCAACCCUUAAGCUUAGUUGCCAUCAUUAAGUUGGGCACUCUAAGUUGACUGCCGGUGACAAACCGGAGGAAGGUGGGGAUGACGUCAAAUCAUCAUGCCCCUUAUGAUUUGGGCUACACACGUGCUACAAUGGACAAUACAAAGGGCAGCGAAACCGCGAGGUCAAGCAAAUCCCAUAAAGUUGUUCUCAGUUCGGAUUGUAGUCUGCAACUCGACUACAUGAAGCUGGAAUCGCUAGUAAUCGUAGAUCAGCAUGCUACGGUGAAUACGUUCCCGGGUCU